Molecule: ribosomal RNA, 253 nt
Filed under: uncultured bacterium
Lineage: Bacteria
Description: partial 16S ribosomal RNA
Rfam family: Bacterial small subunit ribosomal RNA
Source: RNAcentral
UACGGAGGGUGCAAGCGUUGUCCGGAAUCACUGGGCGUAAAGGGCGCGUAGGCGGCUCAUGAAGGCUGUGGUGAAAGUCCGGGGCCCAACCUCGGAUCGGCCGUGGCGACUCGUGGGCUGGAGCACUGUAGAGGCGGGUGGAAUUCCGGGUGUAGCGGUGGAAUGCGUAGAGAUCCGGAAGAACACCAGUGGCGAAGGCGGCCCGCUGGGCAGUGGCUGACGCUGAGGCGCGACAGCGUGGGGAGCAAACAGG